This 729-nucleotide ribosomal RNA is filed under the name Haliclona oculata. RNAcentral's name for it is "eukaryotic LSU rRNA". It matches the Rfam family "Eukaryotic large subunit ribosomal RNA", at positions 1307 to 1931 of the family's 3401-position model. Lineage: Eukaryota; Metazoa; Porifera; Demospongiae; Haplosclerida; Chalinidae. The record is from RNAcentral.
UAGCCCUGAAAAUGGAUGGCGCUGAAGCGUCGCGCCUAUUUGCCCGGCACCCGUGGGCUAUUCUCCAGGUUGGCCCCGGGUAGUAGGAGGGCGCGGAGGUCCCCACGACGACGUUGUGGCGGUGCAGUCUGUGGCGUGAGCACGGAUGAAGCGGCCUCCGGUGCGGAUCUUGGUGGUAGUAGCAAAUAUUCAAGGGAGGACCUUGAAGACUGAAGUGGAGAAGGGUUCCGUGUGAACAGCAGUUGGACACGGGUGAGUCGUUCCUAAGGGAAGGGGAAGUCCCCCCUUUUUGCCUGGAAGGGGUGCCCGUCCCGUUGGGGUGUAGGUUCGUCCUUGCCCUCUCGGGGUGGUGGCACCAGGCCCCGAAAGGGAAUCGGGUUAACAUUCCCGAACCGGAGUGUGGAGGCGGCUUCGGCCGUUGGCGGCAACGCAAACGAACUCGGAGACGUCGGCGGGAGCCCUGGGAAGAGUUGUCUUUUCUUCUUGACGGAGUGUGUUCCCUGGAAUCGGGUUGGCCGGAGAUAGGGUCAUCUGAUUCCGGCAUAGCGCCACACUUGUCGUGGCGUCCGGUGCGCUCCCGACGGCCCUUGAAAAUCCGAGGGAAGCGUAGUAAGGUUGGUUCCGUGCUCUCGCACCCGGUCGUACCGAUAACCGCAGCAGGUCUCCAAGGUGAGCAGCCUCUAGUCGAUAGAACAAUGUAGGUAAGGGAAGUCGGCAAAAGAGAUCCGU